This 2255-nucleotide ribosomal RNA is filed under the name human gut metagenome. Its description in RNAcentral is "bacterial LSU rRNA". It matches the Rfam family "Bacterial large subunit ribosomal RNA", at positions 183 to 2462 of the family's 2925-position model. The record is from RNAcentral.
ACCGGGGGAACUGAAACAUCUAAGUACCCCGAGGAAAAGAAAUCAACCGAGAUUCCCCCAGUAGCGGCGAGCGAACGGGGAGGAGCCCAGAGCCUGAAUCAGUGUGUGUGUUAGUGGAAGCGUCUGGAAAGGCGUGCGAUACAGGGUGACAGCCCCGUACACAAAAAUGCACAUAUUGUGAGCUCGAUGAGUAGGGCGGGACACGUGGUAUCCUGUCUGAAUAUGGGGGGACCAUCCUCCAAGGCUAAAUACUCCUGACUGACCGAUAGUGAACCAGUACCGUGAGGGAAAGGCGAAAAGAACCCCGGCGAGGGGAGUGAAAAAGAACCUGAAACCGUGUACGUACAAGCAGUGGGAGCCUCUUAAUGGGGUGACUGCGUACCUUUUGUAUAAUGGGUCAGCGACUUAUAUUCUGUAGCAAGGUUAACCGAAUAGGGGAGCCGAAGGGAAACCGAGUCUUAACUGGGCGUUAAGUUGCAGGGUAUAGACCCGAAACCCGGUGAUCUAGCCAUGGGCAGGUUGAAGGUUGGGUAACACUAACUGGAGGACCGAACCGACUAAUGUUGAAAAAUUAGCGGAUGACUUGUGGCUGGGGGUGAAAGGCCAAUCAAACCGGGAGAUAGCUGGUUCUCCCCGAAAGCUAUUUAGGUAGCGCCUCGUGAAUUCAUCUCCGGGGGUAGAGCACUGUUUCGGCAAGGGGGUCAUCCCGACUUACCAACCCGAUGCAAACUGCGAAUACCGGAGAAUGUUAUCACGGGAGACACACGGCGGGUGCUAACGUCCGUCGUGAAGAGGGAAACAACCCAGACCGCCAGCUAAGGUCCCAAAGUCAUGGUUAAGUGGGAAACGAUGUGGGAAGGCCCAGACAGCCAGGAUGUUGGCUUAGAAGCAGCCAUCAUUUAAAGAAAGCGUAAUAGCUCACUGGUCGAGUCGGCCUGCGCGGAAGAUGUAACGGGGCUAAACCAUGCACCGAAGCUGCGGCAGCGACACUAUGUGUUGUUGGGUAGGGGAGCGUUCUGUAAGCCUGUGAAGGUGGCCUGUGAGGGUUGCUGGAGGUAUCAGAAGUGCGAAUGCUGACAUAAGUAACGAUAAAGCGGGUGAAAAGCCCGCUCGCCGGAAGACCAAGGGUUCCUGUCCAACGUUAAUCGGGGCAGGGUGAGUCGACCCCUAAGGCGAGGCCGAAAGGCGUAGUCGAUGGGAAACAGGUUAAUAUUCCUGUACUUGGUGUUACUGCGAAGGGGGGACGGAGAAGGCUAUGUUGGCCGGGCGACGGUUGUCCCGGUUUAAGCGUGUAGGCUGGUUUUCCAGGCAAAUCCGGAAAACCAAGGCUGAGGCGUGAUGACGAGGCACUACGGUGCUGAAGCGACAAAUGCCCUGCUUCCAGGAAAAGCCUCUAAGCAUCAGGUAACAUCAAAUCGUACCCCAAACCGACACAGGUGGUCAGGUAGAGAAUACCAAGGCGCUUGAGAGAACUCGGGUGAAGGAACUAGGCAAAAUGGUGCCGUAACUUCGGGAGAAGGCACGCUGAUAUGUAGGUGAAGCGACUUGCUCGUGGAGCUGAAAUCAGUCGAAGAUACCAGCUGGCUGCAACUGUUUAUUAAAAACACAGCACUGUGCAAACACGAAAGUGGACGUAUACGGUGUGACGCCUGCCCGGUGCCGGAAGGUUAAUUGAUGGGGUUAGCGGCAACGCGAAGCUCUUGAUCGAAGCCCCGGUAAACGGCGGCCGUAACUAUAACGGUCCUAAGGUAGCGAAAUUCCUUGUCGGGUAAGUUCCGACCUGCACGAAUGGCGUAAUGAUGGCCAGGCUGUCUCCACCCGAGACUCAGUGAAAUUGAACUCGCUGUGAAGAUGCAGUGUACCCGCGGCAAGACGGAAAGACCCCGUGAACCUUUACUAUAGCUUGACACUGAACAUUGAGCCUUGAUGUGUAGGAUAGGUGGGAGGCUUUGAAGUGUGGACGCCAGUCUGCAUGGAGCCGACCUUGAAAUACCACCCUUUAAUGUUUGAUGUUCUAACGUUGGCCCGUAAUCCGGGUUGCGGACAGUGUCUGGUGGGUAGUUUGACUGGGGCGGUCUCCUCCUAAAGAGUAACGGAGGAGCACGAAGGUUGGCUAAUCCUGGUCGGACAUCAGGAGGUUAGUGCAAUGGCAUAAGCCAGCUUGACUGCGAGCGUGACGGCGCGAGCAGGUGCGAAAGCAGGUCAUAGUGAUCCGGUGGUUCUGAAUGGAAGGGCCAUCGCUCAACGGAUAAAAG